RNAcentral lists this ribosomal RNA (537 nucleotides) under Ghinallelia minimula. RNAcentral describes it as "partial large subunit ribosomal RNA". It matches the Rfam family "Eukaryotic large subunit ribosomal RNA", at positions 703 to 1135 of the family's 3401-position model. The record is from RNAcentral. Lineage: Eukaryota; Metazoa; Arthropoda; Insecta; Hemiptera; Reduviidae.
AAAACUCAAAGGCGUAAUGAAAGUAAAUAGUGGAAUACUGAUUUUAUUGAAUUUAUUCUUUAUUAUCGGUUUCCCUAUAGGGAGGAUGGAAUACUUUUUCAGUAAUUAUUAGUUUACUAAUUUAUUAUUGUUUUUAAGUUUCCCGCACUCCCGGGGCGCUUGUUUCUCGCUUUGCGAGUCAGUGCGCACCUAGAGCGUACACGAUGAUACCCGAAAGAUGGUGAACUAUGCCUGGCCAGGACGAAGCCAGGGGAAACCCUGGUGGAGGUCCGCAGCGAUUCUGACGUGCAAAUCGAUCGUCGGAGCUGGGUAUAGGGGCGAAAGACCAAUCGAACCAUCUAGUAGCUGGUUCCCUCUGAAGUUUCCCUCAGGAUAGCUUGCGCUCGGUUGAUAAGAGUCUCAUCCGGUAGAGCGAAUGAUUAGAGGCAUUGGGGUCGAAACGACCUCAACCUAUUCUCAAACUCCAAAUAGAUGAGACCCCCGGCUUUCUUAAAAAUGAAGCCGUGGGAAUUGGAUCAGAGUGCCAAGUGGGCCAAU